CCUACGGGUGGCAGCAGUGAGGAAUAUUGGUCAAUGGGCGGAAGCCUGAACCAGCCACGCCGCGUGAAGGAAGACGGCGCCAGGCGUCGUAAACUUCUUUUGUCGGGGAACAAAGUGCGCCACGUGUGGCUUUGUGCAUGUACCCGAAGAAAAAGCAUCGGCUAACUCCGUGCCAGCAGCCGCGGUAAUCCGGAGGAUGCGAGCGUUAUCCGGAUUUGUUGGGUUGAAAGGGUGCGUAGGCGGUCCGGAAAGUCAGCGGUAAAAGCCCGGGGCUCAACCCCGGCGAGCCGUGGAAACUGGUGGACGAGAGAUGGGGAGAAGUAAGCGGAAUGCGCGGUGUAGCGGGGAAAUGCAUAGAUA
This 360-nucleotide ribosomal RNA is filed under the name uncultured bacterium. RNAcentral's name for it is "partial 16S ribosomal RNA". It matches the Rfam family "Bacterial small subunit ribosomal RNA", at positions 338 to 696 of the family's 1533-position model. The record is from RNAcentral.